UACGUAGGGUGCAAGCGUUAAUCGGAAUUACUGGGCGUAAAGCGUGCGCAGGCGGUUAUGUAAGACAGUUGUGAAAUCCCCGGGCUCAACCUGGGAACUGCAUCUGUGACUGCAUAGCUAGAGUACGGUAGAGGGGGAUGAAAUUCCGCGUGUAGCAGUGAAAUGCGUAGAUAUGCGGAGGAACACCGAUGGCGAAGGCAAUCCCCCUGGACCUGUACUGACGCUCAUGCACGAAAGCGUGGGGAGCAAACAGGAU
This 256-nucleotide ribosomal RNA is filed under the name uncultured bacterium. RNAcentral's name for it is "partial 16S ribosomal RNA". It matches the Rfam family "Bacterial small subunit ribosomal RNA", at positions 524 to 778 of the family's 1533-position model. The record is from RNAcentral.